AUUGAACGCUGGCGGCAUGCCUUACACAUGCAAGUCGAACGGUAACAGGUCUUCGGACGCUGACGAGUGGCGAACGGGGGAGUAAUGCAUCGGAACGUGCCCAGUCGUGGGGGAUAACUGCUCGAAAGAGCAGCUAAUACCGCAUACGACCUGAGGGUGACAGCGGGGGACCGUAAGGCCUCUCGCGAUUGGAGCGGCCGAUGUCAGAUUAGCUAGUUGGUGGGGUAAAGGCCUACCAAGGCAACGAUCUGUAGUUGGUCUGAGAGGACGACCAGCCACACUGGGACUGAGACACGGCCCAGACUCCUACGGGAGGCAGCAGUGGGGAAUUUUGGACAAUGGGCGCAAGCCUGAUCCAGCAAUGCCGCGUGCAGGAAGAAGGCCUUCGGGUUGUAAACUGCUUUUGUCAGGGAAGAAAUCUUCUGGGCUAAUACCCCGGGAGGAUGACGGUACCUGAAGAAUAAGCACCGGCUAACUACGUG
This 482-nucleotide ribosomal RNA is filed under the name uncultured bacterium. Its description in RNAcentral is "partial 16S ribosomal RNA". It matches the Rfam family "Bacterial small subunit ribosomal RNA", at positions 30 to 507 of the family's 1533-position model. The record is from RNAcentral.